UCAAACCUUUAUAUAUAUAACUUCAGAAUUUCAUGUUGUGAUUUCUGCUACUAUAACUACUACUUCAAAUGUCAUGACACAAGCUUCAGGAAUGGGGUCUCAGCUGAGGAUGUCUUGACUUUCCUUUGUCGGGAGAUUGAACUUUACAUGGGCCAUCCCUUUUCUCUCAAUGCUGUCCAGGCACUUCCAGUGCCAGUGGAACCCAUUCACGAUGACAAGGAUUUUGACAGCCUGUUUCCACCAUCCACUGCUGUGCAAGCCUGUGCCUCUCCUGAGGAAUCAGCUAGACCCCCAUCAGCCUUCUUGGUUUUGAAUUCUCAGGAAAUGCCACAAGUCUGAUGUUUCAUAGAACAUGAGUGUAAAGAGCUGGGGUUUCUUCAAAGUUGCAAAUGAAGAUUUCUGCUGCUGUUAAUGUCAUGUAUCAGUCUCAAACCAUCCAGUUUUUCACUGAUUCCAAGAGAAAGAAAAUAGAUGAUGUUUUAGUCAAAUUCAAUAUUGAUGCUAUGCUUCCAUUGAAUAUCAUGAAGCAUGAAUCCUUUAAGAAGUUUGUUGAUGAGCUUGACAAACACUAUAGUCCUCCUGGAAAGAAAGGAAUUUUAAAUCAAAUCAUAGAAAUACAAAGAAGUGAAGUCAUUUCUUCAAGAUGACCUGUCAAAAACUAAUAAUGCAGCAAUUGCACACAAUGCAUAGACAUCAUUAAAUACAAAGCUAUGAUACAUUAAACGUUAGUAUAUUUCUCCAGAAUUGGAAUUAAAAACAGUAGUUUUGAUAACAGAACUGUUUCCAGGCUUCCAGGCAGGAGAAAAUGUUGCAGACAGCUGCUGAGAAAUGGAAUAUAGGUGAACAUAUUGUACUGACGGUUCAGCCAGUAUGUGCAGAAAGAAUGUACCGUAUUGAAUUGGACAUGUGUUAGUUGCUACAGGCAUUGUUUAAACUUAGUAGUGAUGAAUUCUGUCAUCAUUACAGAAGUAGCAAGGUUGGUAGGCAAGGGAAGAACUGUUGUGACUUGUUUCCACAAGGGCCUUUUUGUCACUGAAAUCCUCAUGUCUUAAGUUUCUGCUUAGACAUGAAACUUCUUCUUCCUGAAGCAUUGUAUGACCACAGGCUGAUAAAAGGUAUUCCCAGUUGGUGGAACAGUAUUUUGAACAUGCUGAAACUGUUUUCUGAGUAAACUUAAGCUUUACAUGUUACCGUAACUGAUUGUAUUUUUGGAAAAAGAGGGUGGGAAGUAUGAAUUAAACUGUUCACUUAUGAAAAGCUGGGUGUUGUAGAGUCCUUGAUAAAUGUGAGAGACCCUUGUGAGAUGGUUACUGAAUUGUUGUCUGCAGAGAAAGAACUGACACACAACUGGUCAUUCCAUGUAUACUUAAACAAGAAAGGGUAAUUUAAACGAAUGAAGAUGGCAAGCCUGUCAUUGUGAAGGUGAAAUCUGAGUUUAGAAAGCUAAUGAACCAUAGAAUGCAAGACAGGGAUGUGGUCUUGCUACUUUGUCACUUGUGUCCUUUUAUAAAUUGUCUACAAUUUAUUUCAAAGGAUGUACAGGAGAAAGCUGACUGUUUACUGUACAGUGAAGUAUGUGGAAUUACUUCUAAUGCUUCAGUGAAAAAAAGGAAUCAGAUGAACCCUUCAAUUCAUCCACAGAUAAUGUUCUUCCAACUUUACUUAUGGAUGAAUCGCUGUAUUCACCUUAUUCAAGAGAUAAAAAAACUAAAAUCAUAAAACUGUUCCUGGUACUAUAUUAUUUGUGAAAUAUCAUGUUAUGAAGUAGAUGGGUACCUUACACUUGACCUAGUUCAGGUUGAUCUGUCAAUCUUGUGGAAAGACAAUGAAAACACCUUUUUAAGAAUAGCCAUUGUUGCAAAGAAUAUCUAUUCAUCCGUGCUUCAAGUGUUUCAUCUGAGAGAAUCUUUAGUCUGGCUUUGUUUUGAUAAAAGGAUCACAGUUGAAACCAGAAAAUGUUGACUUUUAUUUUUGAAGAACUCUUUUAUGUCAACUGUGAAGAAGACUAACAACUGAUAGUUAAUUGAAAGUGAAAUGCCUAAAAGAUAAGUUUUUGAGUAUUCUAAUUAAUUUAAAAUGUCUAAAGUUUUUGUGAAUGCAUGUAUGUUCCAGUCACUAGUCGAUUAAAACUGAGAAAUUUAGAGUA
Molecule: long non-coding RNA, 2146 nt
Filed under: Limulus polyphemus (Atlantic horseshoe crab)
Lineage: Eukaryota; Metazoa; Arthropoda; Merostomata; Xiphosura; Limulidae
Description: uncharacterized LOC111083957
Source: RNAcentral